CCUACGGGCGGCAGCAGUGGGGAAUCUUGCACAAUGGGGGAUACCCUGAUGCAGCAACGCCGCGUGAGUGAAGAAGUAUUUCGGUACGUAAAACUCUAUCAGCAGGGAAGAAAAUGACGGUACCUGACUAAGAAGCCCCGGCUAACUACGUGCCAGCAGCCGCGGUAAUACGUAGGGGGCAAGCGUUAUCCGGAUUUACUGGGUGUAAAGGGAGCGUAGACGGCAGCGCAAGUCUGGAGUGAAAUCCCAUGGCUUAACCAUGGAACUGCAUUGGAAACUGUGCAGCUAGAGUGCAGGAGAGGUAAGCGGAAUUCCUAGUGUAGCGGUGAAAUGCGUAGAUAUUAGGAGGAACACCAGUGGCGAAGGCGGCUUACUGGACUGUAACUGACGCUGAGGCUCGAAAGCGUGGGGAGCAAACAGGAUUAGAUACCCGAGUAGUC
RNAcentral lists this ribosomal RNA (440 nucleotides) under uncultured bacterium. RNAcentral describes it as "partial 16S ribosomal RNA". It matches the Rfam family "Bacterial small subunit ribosomal RNA", at positions 338 to 795 of the family's 1533-position model. The record is from RNAcentral.